Molecule: non-coding RNA, 269 nt
Organism: Ophiophagus hannah (king cobra)
Lineage: Eukaryota; Metazoa; Chordata; Lepidosauria; Squamata; Elapidae
Rfam family: 7SK RNA
About the family: 7SK was discovered as an abundant small nuclear RNA in the mid-70s but a possible function has only recently been suggested. Two independent studies have found that 7SK RNA binds the CDK9/cyclin T complex (known as elongation factor P-TEFb).
Source: Rfam
GGAUAUGUGGGCAAGCUGGCUGCAACAUCUGCCAUUCCACUGAUUACCAGGGUUGAUUGGCUGAUGUGACUGGCUAGAUGGGUUUUCUCUUCAUCCAUCAGUACUUCAUGUGAGUUUCUCCUGAAGCUGCACAUUCAGAUUGGAGUUUAUCGAUCUUUGAUCAAGGAUAUACAAUAGCUAUGCCCUUCUGGUAGAACCUUCAAAUAAGCUCAAGCAAAGUGGCUGUUCUUUGUCUCUUUGUUUCCAACUUAGAAACUUUUUCUAUUUCU